UAGGGAAUCUUCGGCAAUGGACGGAAGUCUGACCGAGCAACGCCGCGUGAGUGAAGAAGGUUUUCGGAUCGUAAAGCUCUGUUGUUAGAGAAGAACGUUGGUAGGAGUGGAAAAUCUACCAAGUGACGGUAACUAACCAGAAAGGGACGGCUAACUACGUGCCAGCAGCCGCGGUAAUACGUAGGUCCCGGGCGUUGUCCGGAUUUAUUGGGCGUAAAGCGAGCGCAGGCGGUUCUUUAAGUCUGAAGUUAAAGGCAGUGGCUUAACCAUUGUACGCUUCGGAAACUGGAGGACUUGAGUGCAGAAGGGGAGAGUGGAAUUCCAUGUGUAGCGGUGAAAUGCGUAGAUAUAUGGAGGAACACCGGUGGCGAAAGCGGCUCUCUGGUCUGUAACUGACGCUGAGGCUCGAAAGCGUGGGGAGCAAACAGG
Molecule: ribosomal RNA, 429 nt
Filed under: Bacillota bacterium
Lineage: Bacteria; Bacillati; Bacillota
Description: Firmicutes bacterium partial 16S ribosomal RNA
Rfam family: Bacterial small subunit ribosomal RNA
Source: RNAcentral